GAGAGCCAAAUGAAUCGAAAGGUUCGUGUUUGGUUCGGGAAGGGAUCAUGAAAUUUUUGAAAUAAAAAAACAAAUGGAAAGGUAGUCUACUUUCAU
Molecule: non-coding RNA, 96 nt
Organism: Gossypium raimondii (Peruvian cotton)
Lineage: Eukaryota; Viridiplantae; Streptophyta; Magnoliopsida; Malvales; Malvaceae
Source: Rfam